GACGAACGCUUGCGACGUGCCUAAGACAUGCAAGUCGAACGGUGUAGCAAUACACAGUGGCGGACGGGUGAGUAAUGAAUCGCUAAUGUACCCUUAGGCCAGGGAUAGCCAUCUGAAAGGAUGGGUAAUACCUGAUGUUUUAACUCUUGGGCAUCCUUGAGUUCACAAAGCAGCAAUGCACCUUUGGAGCAGGCGAUUUCGUACCAGGUAGUUGGUGAGGAACGGCUCACCAAGCCGACGACGCGUAGCCGGGCUGAGAGGUUGGCCGGCCACAUUGGGACUGAGACACUGCCCAGACU
This 299-nucleotide ribosomal RNA is filed under the name uncultured bacterium. RNAcentral's name for it is "partial 16S ribosomal RNA". It matches the Rfam family "Bacterial small subunit ribosomal RNA", at positions 28 to 337 of the family's 1533-position model. The record is from RNAcentral.